Molecule: ribosomal RNA, 137 nt
Filed under: Neogale vison (American mink)
Lineage: Eukaryota; Metazoa; Chordata; Mammalia; Carnivora; Mustelidae
Source: RNAcentral
GUCUACGGCCAUACCACCCUGAACGCGCCCGAUCUCGUCUGAUCUUGGAAGCUAAGCAGGGUCGGGCCUGGUUAGUACUUGGAUGGGAGAAAUUGAAACUUUCUUACAGAUAUGGGAGAUAUGAUUCUCUGAAAGCC